This 1231-nucleotide long non-coding RNA is filed under the name Helianthus annuus (common sunflower). RNAcentral describes it as "hypothetical non coding rna". The record is from RNAcentral. Lineage: Eukaryota; Viridiplantae; Streptophyta; Magnoliopsida; Asterales; Asteraceae.
UUCAUUCACAUCUAGGGUUUCUGUUUCUUCCAUCAUACACUCCUCCCCCUAUGGUUUCAUUCUUCCAGCAUACGUCUCUCUUCUCCAUAUCUAAUCUUCAUUCACAUCCUAGGGUUUCUGCAACCUCAUUCGCACCUCUCCUUCUCAUCCAAUCGCAUCCAUGAAGAUCAUGUUCAUCCCCAAGGUCAACCCAAAUCUAUAUUACCAAUCUUCUGCUCUAAUUCUCUCUGCCGUCCUUCAGCCUUACGAAAUCUUCAUCACAAAUGUAUGAUUCCAUCUCUUUGGUAACAAUCAAUCUUGGUUUUCUUGCCUUUUCUUUCGAUUUCUUACUUUUUAUUUACUGGAACCAAAUUAGGGUUUUUAUAGCCUUCAUCUACCUUACUUCACUAAGUUAUAGAUUGAUAACUUAGAUUGAUAACAAAUUGCAACCGAUCAAAGUACAUCACUUCACUAAAAUAUCCCCAUUGUUUUUUUAUAACCUUCAUCUACCUUACUUCACUUUAGCGCCUUCGUCUUCCUCCUCUGCUGCAGAUUCCAAACCCUAGGUAAGGUGUAGUUUUUAGAGGUGAAAUAAUGGUGGAGAAGACGAAAGGAAUGAAGGAAGAGGUGGUGACGAAAGAGUACACCAUUAAUCUUCACAAGCGGCUUCAUGGAUGGGUGGUGCCAAGAAGUUGGUGAUCUCAGCUCCAUAAGCCGAUUCACCCAUGUUUGUCGUAGCAGUAAAGUAAAGAUGAGUCUUGAUCUCCUAAACUGGAGAUUGCAAAAACGAUGAGUCAGAUGCCCCUCUGACCAUAGUCACCUAAUUCGCUAGAAAAGUGGCGAAUUUCGUAUUGGUACGUUUCGUACCGUACGGAAUUCGUUUUCGUAAAAUACGGUUCGAAUUCGCGAAUUCACUCCAUGAAUUCAGCGUUUCAUUCCAUUCAAUGAACCUACCCCCUUCCGAACCGAAUUCGUCCCAACUAGCGAAUUGCGAACCCGAACCGCGUACCCGAACCGGAGCGAACCGCGAAUUAGGUGACUAUGCCUCUGACAAGUAUCUUAUCUUAAGCCAUUUAGCAAGGGCACCAAGUGUAAGAAAUAAGUUAAAUGGAAGGGAUUUAGCACUGCUAUAACUAGAUAGGCACCAAGGAAUGUAUUUGGAAGCUACACUUUUGUUCUUUCAAUAUAUGGAAUAAAGUAUUUUUGUAACGUUUUUGUUUACAUGAUUACAUUUAAUAAUAAUAUUUUAUUU